Long non-coding RNA from Erpetoichthys calabaricus (reedfish), 1613 nucleotides. RefSeq lists it as uncharacterized. NCBI's taxonomy places the organism in Eukaryota, Metazoa, Chordata, Cladistia, Polypteriformes, Polypteridae. The record is from RefSeq and is a predicted model, not a curated record. The transcript is spliced from 3 exons.
CGCAAGCCGCCUAAUUUUACGAAUCGAUUGUGAUUAGGCUUCAAGAAGAAGUAUCGUUUUGUUUCUUUUUUAACGUAACCCCAACCCGUAAAGUAUUCUGUGCUUGUAUGAUGUCAGUAAGAAAGAUGGGAUUGUUUAUUUCAGCCGGCGUGAUUCACUCCGUAACGUCUGGUCAAUGUGACGUGGACCUGCACUUUAAUAAUGGCACUCCUCCAGCCACACUGAGCUUAAAAUGGUAAAGAUAUUCAAUUAGGAAACGCACAUCGCAUAAAAGAAAGUUCCGCGGGGUUCCAGAAACAUUUUUCCGAAGUGAUUCAGUUUCAUGACUGACCAUUAUCUGAUGCUGUUGGAAUGAAAGGCAUUACAACGUUAAGCUCAGUCAGCGCUCCGAGUGCCGGCAGCGCCCCCGCCUGGUAGAACUCGGCAGCUCCGUGAGAUGAGUACCGCUCUGACGUUCCCUGGAUUUCUAGGAAUGUCCCUUCCCCGUUGCUAUAUUUGGAGGUGAUUUCUAGGAAAAUAGUGCUGGUCAGGACCGUGUGCCUCCAUAUACAGAGCGAGGCAUACGCUGUAAAGUUUUCAUUUAUUCGCGCGAGAGAAAGGCUGUCGCCACGCUCCGGCGGUUCUGGAGUUUUUCUUUCUUUUUUAACGAUUCUUUUCAGCCUUGGCGCCUGGCAGUCACCCUUGUCAUGAGAUUUACUGCCAGUGUGGGGACCUGUGUGAGGAUCGUCAAGUUGCAGCUGGAUGGCUGCACGCCCCUCCGGAGGGCUCUGCUCCUUUCGCUCCGCAUUUCUCCUUCUUGCAGUGCGGUGCACUUGCAUGACCGAUAUUUGGAUGUGGAACCCCCCCCCAGAGCCCCCGCCUCCUCCCGGCACACACCCCUCUACCCCCCCCCCCCCCCCCCCUGCUGGCCUCUUGAUAGCCUGUGGCGUGACCAUGAAGAAAUAUUUGAAGAUCUUUACAUUGCAAUGAGUCAGGGUUGCCAGACAAGACAGCCCAAACCAGUAGGAGCACGCAGAGCCCCUUAAAGGAACAAAGGGCGAAAUGAAGACGCGCAGCCUCACUGGAAGGGGGGCACUGAGCGCAGCAGCACGGAGUCUGAAUUUGCAGAUGGGAGAGGAAAACUUAUAUAUACAUGAGGAGGGCAAAGCAAACACCACAUGGACAACAACUGGGAACAGGGUCUGAACCUGCCAGCUAGUUUCUGAUAACCUUCUCGUCUUUCCACAAAUCUGGGAAAGGACACAUUUCCUCUAGGCAACAAUAAAGAAAAGGACAAGCUCUGGUGAACGCAUGCAGUGAUGUCCUUCAGUUUUGUUCAUACAGUGACUGUACCAGGUGCAUACAAUUUUACUGUAUAAUGUUGUGUAUUUACUCUCUAGAAACCUAUUAUAUGAAUGUCACGUAUACAUAGUUUACGUUAAUCACAUGUGCAGUCAUUAAACCUGUAAAUGUGCGUUAGUAAUGUUUACAAUGGAAUGUUGGAUUAACAUUUAGUACAUAGUACUAAAGUUAAUGCGUCUCUAGUGUCCAAAUCAUGUCCGAAAUAAGAUACCAUUUAGAGGAUGCCCAUCUGCAUGCAUCACUCAUAUCAUGCAGAUCAUCAGUCAGUCUUC